CACGGGGGGAGCAAGCGUUGUUCGGAAUCACUGGGCGUAAAGGGCGUGUAGGCGGUUCAGUAAGUGGAAUGUGAAAUGCCCCGGCUUACCCGGGGACCUGCAUCCCAAACUGCUGGACUUGAGUACGGGAGAGGAUGAGGGAAUUCCUGGUGUAGCGGUGAAAUGCGUAGAUAUCAGGAGGAACACCGGUGGCGAAGGCGCUCAUCUGGCCCGAUACUGACGCUGAUGCGCGAAAGCUAGGGGAGCGAACGGG
RNAcentral lists this ribosomal RNA (253 nucleotides) under uncultured bacterium. RNAcentral's name for it is "partial 16S ribosomal RNA". It matches the Rfam family "Bacterial small subunit ribosomal RNA", at positions 524 to 776 of the family's 1533-position model. The record is from RNAcentral.